This 254-nucleotide ribosomal RNA is filed under the name uncultured bacterium. Its description in RNAcentral is "partial 16S ribosomal RNA". It matches the Rfam family "Bacterial small subunit ribosomal RNA", at positions 524 to 776 of the family's 1533-position model. The record is from RNAcentral.
UACAGAGGGUGCAAACGUUGUUCGGAUUUACUGGGCGUAAAGCGCGUGUAGGCUGCUUCGCAAGUCGGAUGUGAAAGCCCUGGGCUCAACCCAGGAAGUGCAUUCGAAACUGCAGAGCUGGAGUCCUGGAGAGGAAGGCGGAAUUCUCGGUGUAGAGGUGAAAUUCGUAGAUAUCGAGAAGAACACCGGUGGCGAAGGCGGUCUGCUGGGCAGUAGCUGACACUGAGGCGCGACAGCGUGGGGGAGCAAACAGG